CGGAGGGGACUAGCGUUGUUCGGAAUUACUGGGGCGUAAAGCGCGCGUAGGCGGAUCGGACAGUCAGAGGUGAAAUCCCGGGGCUCAACCCCGGAACUGCCUUUGAAACUCCCGGUCUGGAGUUCGAGAGAGGUGAGUGGAAUUCCGAGUGUAGAGGUGAAAUUCGUAGAUAUUCGGAGGAACACCAGUGGCGAAGGCGGCUCACUGGCUCGAUACUGACGCUGAGGUGCGAAAGCGUGGGGAGCAAACAGGAUU
Molecule: ribosomal RNA, 255 nt
Filed under: uncultured bacterium
Lineage: Bacteria
Description: partial 16S ribosomal RNA
Rfam family: Bacterial small subunit ribosomal RNA
Source: RNAcentral